GACAGUGUGAUUUCUAGCUUUAACUCCACCAUUUCGAAUGCUAAUCCUCUUAGAAUAGAUAAAAUGACGUGGAACAAAACCUGUAAUGGGCUAUUCUCUACCAAGUCUUCUUACUCCAUGGUCCUUGAGCAAUCUGUUAAACUGUGCCACAAUCCAGAAAGGGAAUUCAACUGGAUUUGGUCAAAAAAAUGUGCCAAACAAAAUCAAAUACUUCUUAUGGUUGUUGACUCAUGACAGACUUCCUUUUAGCAAACACCUGCAUUAAAGGGGGAUCAAUCUGAACCCUAGUUGCUUCUUUUAUAACAAACAGGAGGAAUCCAUUGAGCAUGUCAUAGUCAAUUGUAGACAAUACCAAACUAUUUUGGGAUAACCUAGCCCACAUGAGCCUCAAUAACCAUAAUAUCAAACUUCAGUUAUCUCCUCAAAUGGAGUGAGUUGAUUCCAUUCUGCUUAUGGAAGAUUUGGCUCACUAGAAACAACAAUUGUUUUAAUGAGAAAAGAGAGCCAGUUGUAAGAAUGCCAUAACUAGAGUUGUUAAAUUCAUUCAUAUGGCUGGAGGAUGCACUGACAUACCCACCAUCGUCUUACAAAUCAAGUGGCAUCCUCCCAGGAGAGGCCACUAUAAACUCAACACAGACAGUGCCACUCUCCAAAAGGGGUUUAUAGGAGGAUUAAGAGGAGUAAUAUAAAAUAUCAGUAGGGAUUGGGUUAUGGAAUUCAUGGGAAAAAUAAAUUACACCAACACUCUCCACUCUUAACUAACAACUAUCAUGCAGGGACUAAGAAUGGCAGUCUCAAACAAUUUCAUACCCUUGAAAGUUAACAUAGAUUGAACUGAGGUAAUACACUGUAUCAAUAAAGGCAACCUGAUUUAUGAAACUAUUAUAUGUGAAUGCAGGUCACUCCUAGCAGCACUGGGGCAUCCUUAAGUAAAUCACAUCUACAGAGAAGCCAAUAAGGUAGCAGACAAGCUGGCCAAGGAAGCAAGCAAGAUGACAGAAACAACAACAAACUCUUUGAUAGUUCCUCCGGUGUUUGCCAAUGAAGCAAUAUGGGCAGACAACCUAGGAACUAUGUUUGAAAAAAAUAAGGGGUUGUAAUAUUUCUAAUGUAGAAAUAGACUACACGUUUUAUGUGCAGGUUGAUAUCUCUCCAUAUGCUUCUGUUGUAACUAACAUCCAAGUCACUGAAGUUUUAAAGUUUAAAACUUUAGUAACUUUUAAAGAUGUAUGAACUACAAAGCAAAGCAAAAUAAUUAUAAUUUAAAAUUUUCAACAAUCAAAAGUAAAGUAAUAACGAGACAACAACAAUAUAACAAAAUGACCAAAAGAGUUUUCGUUUAAAUAUGUCCGAUUUGGAUACUGUAGAAUACCUUUUCAAGAAGAUGAAGAUCUGCUCUCAACCUCUCUCUUGUUUACCAUAGUUAAACAAGUACCAUAAGAGGGGAGCCAUAAAAGGUAAGCAGGUCAUUGAUUGAUUGAGGAAACGAUGGAUUGCAGUCAUCUAGGAUUUUGUGGGAUUAGGGUUCUCGAGAUGAGAGAGGUGAGAAGAGGAGAGAAUGGAGGCGGCGGCAGAGAGGUAAUGUGGUUUUGGGUUUGAAAGGGGUUUAUAAGAAAGGGAG
RNAcentral lists this long non-coding RNA (1621 nucleotides) under Nicotiana tabacum (common tobacco). RNAcentral's name for it is "long non-coding RNA (NTAB_LNC001744)". Lineage: Eukaryota; Viridiplantae; Streptophyta; Magnoliopsida; Solanales; Solanaceae. The record is from RNAcentral.